UACGAAGGGGGCUAGCGUUGCUCGGAAUUACUGGGCGUAAAGGGAGCGUAGGCGGAUAGUUUAGUCAGAGGUGAAAGCCUAGGGCUCAACCUUGGAAUUGCCUUUGAUACUGGCUACCUUGAGUACGGAAGAGGUAUGUGGAACUCCGAGUGUAGAGGUGAAAUUCGUAGAUAUUCGGAAGAACACCAGUGGCGAAGGCGACAUACUGGUCCGUUACUGACGCUGAGGCUCGAAAGCGUGGGGAGCAAACAGG
RNAcentral lists this ribosomal RNA (253 nucleotides) under uncultured bacterium. RNAcentral describes it as "partial 16S ribosomal RNA". It matches the Rfam family "Bacterial small subunit ribosomal RNA", at positions 524 to 776 of the family's 1533-position model. The record is from RNAcentral.